UGCAAAGUCCAGGCUCCUGGGUCCGUUUGUGUAAAAUGAAACUGACCCAAGAUGCCUUACUUCCUGAGGAUCUGGGCUUAACUUGUCAGCAGAGUGCCAGAGGUUAGACUGCAGGCUGAACCCAGGUGACUGUCUUGGAGAUGAACCCAGAUUACAAAGCCCGUGGGGAGGGCUUUCAAGGGCACACCUUGGCUGACAACCCGGAGAGGAUCCCACCUGCUUAGCUGACACGCCCUCCCCUUCCACGCUGGGGGCUUCCUACUCUGAUGUUCAUUUUCCAGGUCCUGGAGUUCCCCAGCAGAGCCUGGGGGUGAGGAAGGAAAUCGUAGAGCCCUGGCUUCCUGAGCCCUGCCCACGCCCCCCUGAGCAGACCAAGUUCAUCUACCUUUCUAGGGGAUCCAGCCCAGGGCACGCCGCUUGGCACAGCCUAGGUAGCAUAUGUUGGCUCCGUCUGCCAGGGCCUCACUGUUCAGGGGAGUCUAGGAGCCCUCGGGGGACCAAUAGUGAAGGCACUGAAACAUGCACAUCAUAAUAUAAAUCCAAGAGCAGC
Molecule: long non-coding RNA, 550 nt
Organism: Herpailurus yagouaroundi (jaguarundi)
Lineage: Eukaryota; Metazoa; Chordata; Mammalia; Carnivora; Felidae
Exons: 3
Source: RefSeq, a predicted model, not a curated record